GAUGAACGCUGGCGGCGUGCCUAAUACAUGCAAGUCGAGCGAACGGACGAGAAGGUUGCUUGUCUGUUGUUAGGGGCGGACGGGUGAGUAACACGUGGAUAACCUACAUAUAAGACUAGGAUAACUUCGGGAAACCGGAGAUAAUACAGGAUGAUAGUUUGAACGGCAUAGUGCAAAAGGAAAAGACGGUCUUGCUGUAACUUAUAGAUGGAGCCGCGCUGCAUUAACUAGUUGGUAAGGUCACGGCUUACGAAGGCUACGAGGCAUAGCCGACCUGAGAGCGUCGUCCGCCACCCUGUCUCUGAGACACGUCCCCCACUCCUGCGGUAGGCCGCAGUCGGGAAUCUUCCGCGAUGCGCCAAAGCCUGACGGAGCAACGCCGCGUCAGUGCUGAUGGUCUUCUGACCGUAGAGCUCUGUUAUUCGGGAAGUACUUAUGUGUAAGUAACUGUGCAGAUCUUGACGGUACCUAAUCAGAAAGCCACGGCUAACUACGUG
Molecule: ribosomal RNA, 497 nt
Filed under: uncultured bacterium
Lineage: Bacteria
Description: partial 16S ribosomal RNA
Rfam family: Bacterial small subunit ribosomal RNA
Source: RNAcentral